GAUGAACGCUGGCGGCGUGCCUAAUACAUGUAAGUCGCGCGAACGGACGAGAAGCUUGCUUUUCUGAUGUUAGCGGCGGACGGGUGAGUAACACGUGGAUAACCUACCUAUAAGCCUGGGAUAACUUCGGGCAACCGGAGCUAAUACCGGAUCAUAUUUUGAACCGCAUGGUUCAAUAGUGAAAGACGGUCUUGCUGUCACUUCUGUAUGGAUCCGCGAUGCAUUAGCUAGUUGGUAAGGUAACGGCUUUCCAAGGCAACGAUGCAUAGCCGACCUGAGAGGGUGAUCGGCCACACUGGCACUCAGACCCGGUCCAGACUCCUACGGGAGUCAGCAGUAGGGAAUCUUCCGCAAAGGGCGAAAGCCUGACGGAGCAACGCCGCGUGAGUGAUGAAGGUCUGCGGAUCGUAAAACUCUGUUAUUAGGGAAGAACAUAUGUGUAAGUAACUGUGCACAUCUUGACGGUACCUAAUCAGAAAGCCACGGCUAACUACGUG
RNAcentral lists this ribosomal RNA (497 nucleotides) under uncultured bacterium. RNAcentral's name for it is "partial 16S ribosomal RNA". It matches the Rfam family "Bacterial small subunit ribosomal RNA", at positions 28 to 507 of the family's 1533-position model. The record is from RNAcentral.